CGGGCCCCAGGGCUUCCGGGGCAGCACAAAGCUCGUCAUCACAGUUCCGCUCACUGACUCGCCUGGCACCUAGCAACGUGGGACUCCACUAGCCUUUCCUUAGGCGCCGCGCUAGCCAAUCACGAGCCACGUCGUGUCCCAGCAGCCAAUCCGAAGGCCCGUCAGCGUAAUCGCCUUGCCCGUGGCUCUUCUUUUGUUGGGUUGGUGGGUGAUUCUGGUGCAACCGCCAGUGUUUUCUCCGGUCUCUAUGUCCUGGCGCGCAAUCCGGCUCCAUCGCCCCUUCCUUGACGCUGCUUGAGAGAAUGUGAAAGAGAGAGGCAGAGAGCAGGCCCAGACUGACGAGGGGAUCGCUGCGCUUCGUCUUACAGCCCUGUGAUGCGGAGUUGGGAGUCGGAGCGCUUGGUGCGCUUGGCUGUGUGGAUGUGGACCCUUGGGGGAGCCUGAGUAUGAAUAUGCGCCGGUAAAGGAACAAUACUCUUGAUUUAUGUGGAAGAUGAUUAUGAAAUACACAGGAAAGGUAAGGUAGUGUAUCUGUUUUAGGGAUACAAAGAAUUCUGGGAGGGAUCACACUGACUUGGAAAUGGAUGCAUGAGAGGCUGGUUGAAGGCAUUUGCUUGAUAUAUAAAAAUAUUUUUAAAAGAAAUGUCUUUAAUCCCAACUUGGAAGGCCGAGGUAGGAGAAUCACUGAGUUUGAGGCCAGCCGAGGACAGCAGUACAGUUCCAGGUCAGCCUGGGCUGGAGUGAGACUAUGCCUUGAAAAAUAGAAGAACUGGAUGAUUGCCAAGUAACUGCUGGAUUUCUAAAGGCUCUGGCAUAAAGUCAAAAAGAUGUUUUUCUUAAAAGUCAUUGGUUGAAUUUAAUUGAUCAAGAUUGUGAAGAUUUAUGUAAGCUGCUGUCCUGAAAACCCAGGCCUGGCCCAUAGUCACAGCAACCAGUCAGCUGCCCUCCUGUGCCAGAAGGAGGUGAGAACCCAGGCGAAACAGCCAUGAUCCACCCUCUGUGAGCAAGUGGUUCAUGCCUACUGCUCAUUUGUCUCACUUAAUAAACGUCCCUUUUUCUA
Molecule: long non-coding RNA, 1060 nt
Organism: Jaculus jaculus (lesser Egyptian jerboa)
Lineage: Eukaryota; Metazoa; Chordata; Mammalia; Rodentia; Dipodidae
Exons: 6
Source: RefSeq, a predicted model, not a curated record